This 510-nucleotide ribosomal RNA is filed under the name uncultured Bacteroidota bacterium. RNAcentral's name for it is "bacterial SSU rRNA". It matches the Rfam family "Bacterial small subunit ribosomal RNA", at positions 606 to 1115 of the family's 1533-position model. The record is from RNAcentral. Lineage: Bacteria; Pseudomonadati; Bacteroidota.
AGCUCAACUGUAGAACGGCCUUUGAUACUGAAAGACUUGAGUUAUUGUGAAGUGGUUAGAAUGUGUGGUGUAGCGGUGAAAUGCAUAGAUAUCACACAGAAUACCAAUUGCGAAGGCAGAUCACUAACAAUAUACUGACGCUCAUGGACGAAAGCGUGGGGAGCGAACAGGAUUAGAUACCCUGGUAGUCCACGCCGUAAACGAUGGAUACUAGCUGUUCGUCUAACAUUGGUUAGAUGAGUGGCUAAGCGAAAGUGAUAAGUAUCCCACCUGGGGAGUACGGUCGCAAGACUGAAACUCAAAGGAAUUGACGGGGGCCCGCACAAGCGGUGGAGCAUGUGGUUUAAUACGAUGAUACGCGAGGAACCUUACCAGGGCUUAAAUGUAAAGUGACAGGUCUAGAGAUAGACUCUUCUUCGGACUCUUUACAAGGUGCUGCAUGGUUGUCGUCAGCUCGUGCCGUGAGGUGUCAGGUUAAGUCCUAUAACGAGCGCAACCCCUAUCGUUAGU